Molecule: non-coding RNA, 107 nt
Organism: Arabis alpina (gray rockcress)
Lineage: Eukaryota; Viridiplantae; Streptophyta; Magnoliopsida; Brassicales; Brassicaceae
Source: Rfam
ACUCUAUGGUGAGGGCAAGAUCUAGUGUAUCCCUUCAAUCUUUCCCAUGCUUCGUAGAGAGCUUCAUUUGGACCUUGCUUGAAGCUUGUAAUGUCGUUUUUAAUCCG